CCUUCAGUGCCGCGACGGAUUCGGAGGCGCCGAGCUUCUCGCGUUUGAAAUCCUUGUUCCAGUCGAUGCCGAGGGCC
This 77-nucleotide transfer RNA is filed under the name Syntrophaceae bacterium PtaU1.Bin231. RNAcentral's name for it is "tRNA-Glu". The record is from RNAcentral. Lineage: Bacteria; Pseudomonadati; Thermodesulfobacteriota; Syntrophia; Syntrophales; Syntrophaceae.